GAGUUUGAUCCUGGCUCAGGUUGAACGCUGGCGGCAUGCUUUACACAUGCAAGUCGAACGGCAGCACGGGUGCUUGCACCUGGUGGCGAGUGGCGAACGGGUGAGUAAUAUAUCGGAACGUACCCGGAAAUGGGGGAUAACGUAGCGAAAGUUACGCUAAUACCGCAUAUGCCCUGAGGGGGAAAGCGGGGGAUUCGUAAGAACCUCGCGUUUUCGGAGCGGCCGAUAUCGGAUUAGCUAGUAGGUGAGGUAAAGGCUCACCUAGGCGACGAUCCGUAGCUGGUCUGAGAGGACGACCAGCCACACUGGAACUGAGACACGGUCCAGACUCCUACGGGAGGCAGCAGUGGGGAAUUUUGGACAAUGGGCGCAAGCCUGAUCCAGCCAUGCCGCGUGAGUGAAGAAGGCCUUCGGGUUGUAAAGCUCUUUCAGCCGGAAAGAAAACACACAAGUUAAUACCCUGUGUGGAUGACGGUACCGGAAGAAGAAGCACCGGCUAACUACAC
Molecule: ribosomal RNA, 506 nt
Filed under: uncultured beta proteobacterium
Lineage: Bacteria; Pseudomonadati; Pseudomonadota; Betaproteobacteria
Description: bacterial SSU rRNA
Rfam family: Bacterial small subunit ribosomal RNA
Source: RNAcentral